CAAGCUUUGCACCUAUUACUGUCCACCUUAUAUUCCUCAAUACAACUUUGACGUCGUUUGGUUUCAACACAGAGAGAUGUUGCUAUGACGAAUAGUUUCAGGAUUUAUCUCUCGUAGAUCGAAGGCAAGCUUGGUUGGUAUUCAAAGUGACUGAUAAGCGCAGAAGUAACCAGGUUUCUGGUCAAUGCAAUUAUGUGAUAAUCACAAGCCAACACAUUAGUUCUAAAGGUAGUAGUUUUUGACAUAAGCCCUCUUACAUUCUGGUAGUAUAUAUUAAGUACUUUAUUACACUUAUUCAUGUUAGACAUAGAGCACAUUUGGAGAAAAUGAAUAGAAAAUAUAAUUUGACAGUAUAAGGCUCAUUCAGUAAUUACCACAUAAUACUACCAUAUAACAGGCCUACUAGGCCUAUAUCAACCAGGCAACUAACUUCAGUAUAAAUAUUGUACAUUAAUAUAAUACUGCUCAUGAUAGGCAUACAUAAUUAAUAAUAAUAAACAUUACAACUAGCAUUGUUCAAGCUUCUAAAUAUGUGUUCCAAACUUAAGCUU
Molecule: long non-coding RNA, 551 nt
Organism: Homalodisca vitripennis (glassy-winged sharpshooter)
Lineage: Eukaryota; Metazoa; Arthropoda; Insecta; Hemiptera; Cicadellidae
Exons: 3
Source: RefSeq, a predicted model, not a curated record